This 300-nucleotide unclassified non-coding RNA is filed under the name uncultured Serendipita. RNAcentral describes it as "sequence contains 5.8S rRNA gene, ITS2". The stretch from base 1 to 71 matches the Rfam family "5.8S ribosomal RNA", at positions 84 to 154 of the family's 154-position model. The record is from RNAcentral. Lineage: Eukaryota; Fungi; Basidiomycota; Agaricomycetes; Sebacinales.
GUGAGUCAUCGAAUCUUUGAACGCACAUUGCACCCUUUGGUAUUCCGAAGGGUACACCCGUUUGAGUGUCAUUGUAAUCUCACUACAAUCACUUUAUUGUUGUUUGUAUGUGGACCUGGAUGUUGCUGUGUAACAAACGGCUCGUCUGAAAUGCCUGAGUGUACCCUGCUUUUGCGGCGUAUUCGGUGUGAUAAAUCUUCACCGGAGUUGACUUUCGGGUCGCGUCUGCUUAACAUGGCUCUAUGCUUCCAACUGUCCUAACAAGACAAUCUUUGACAAUUUGACCUCAAAUCGGGUGGG